Molecule: long non-coding RNA, 286 nt
Filed under: Elaeis guineensis (African oil palm)
Lineage: Eukaryota; Viridiplantae; Streptophyta; Magnoliopsida; Arecales; Arecaceae
Description: long non-coding RNA (EGUI_LNC025918)
Source: RNAcentral
UGGGUCUAAAAAAAGUAGAGAGUAACCUGGGUAGUUUGUAUUUAUCUUGAGACUGUUUAUCUUUAUUAUUUGAAGUUUGUGUUUAUCUUCCCAUAGUUUGUAUUUAUUCCAUAGAAUUUGAUAUUUAUCCUCUUUUUUUUAUUGUUUAUCUUGGGUGGACCCUUGGAUCACUCAACUUUUGAUUCUUGAGUUUGUGUUUGUCUUGGAUACUUUCUGUUUAUCAUUUGAGUUUGUAUUUAUUAUCCAUAGUUUCUAUUUAUUAUACAGAGUUUAUGUUUAUUCUAGA